RNAcentral lists this ribosomal RNA (253 nucleotides) under uncultured bacterium. RNAcentral's name for it is "partial 16S ribosomal RNA". It matches the Rfam family "Bacterial small subunit ribosomal RNA", at positions 524 to 776 of the family's 1533-position model. The record is from RNAcentral.
UACGGAGGGCGCAAGCGUUGUUCGGAAUCAUUGGGCGUAAAGCGCGUGCAGGCGGCUUGGUAAGUCGGGUGUGAAAGCCCGGGGCUCAACCCCGGAACUGCACCCGAUACUGCCUCGCUAGAGUCCCGGAGAGGAUGGCGGAAUUUCCGGUGUAGAGGUGAAAUUCGUAGAUAUCGGAAGGAACACCAGCGGCGAAGGCGGCCAUCUGGACGGUGACUGACGCUCAGACGCGAAAGCGUGGGGAGCAAACAGG